UACGUAGGCAGCAAGCGUUGUUCGGAGUUACUGGGCGUAAAGGGUGUGUAGGCGGCCUUCUAAGUUUGGUGUGAAAUCUCCCGGCUCAACCGGGAGGGUGCGCCGAAGACUGGGGGGCUAGAGUGCGGGAUGGGAAAGUAGAAUUCCUGGUGUAGCGGUGAAAUGCGUAGAUAUCAGGAGGAAUACCUGUGGUGUAGACGGCUCUCUGGACCGCAACUGACGCUGAGACACGAAAGCGUGGGUAGCAAACAGG
This 253-nucleotide ribosomal RNA is filed under the name uncultured bacterium. RNAcentral describes it as "partial 16S ribosomal RNA". It matches the Rfam family "Bacterial small subunit ribosomal RNA", at positions 524 to 776 of the family's 1533-position model. The record is from RNAcentral.